UACGAAGGACCCGAGCGUUAUCCGGAUUUAUUGGGUUUAAAGGGUGCGUAGGCGGAUUAGUAAGUCAGUGGUGAAAGCCCAUCGCUUAACGGUGGAACUGCCAUUGAUACUGCUAGUCUUGAAUAUUGUGGAGGCAAGCGGAAUAUGUCAUGUAGCGGUGAAAUGCUUAGAUAUGACAUAGAACACCCAUUGCGAAGGCAGCUUGCUACACAAUGAUUGACGCUGAGGCACGAAAGCGUGGGGAUCAAACAGG
RNAcentral lists this ribosomal RNA (253 nucleotides) under uncultured bacterium. RNAcentral's name for it is "partial 16S ribosomal RNA". It matches the Rfam family "Bacterial small subunit ribosomal RNA", at positions 524 to 776 of the family's 1533-position model. The record is from RNAcentral.